UGGGGAAUAUUGGACAAUGGGCGCAACCCUGAUCCAGCAAUGCCGCGUGAGUGAUGAAGGCCUUAGGGUUGUAAAGCUCUUUUGCCGGGGACGAUAAUGACGGUACCCGGAGAAUAAGUCCCGGCUAACUUCGUGCCAGCAGCCGCGGUAAUACGAAGGGGACUAGCGUUGUUCGGAAUCACUGGGCGUAAAGCGCACGUAGGCGGAUUUGUAAGUCAGGGGUGAAAUCCCGGGGCUCAACCUCGGAACUGCCUUUGAUACUGCGGAUCUCGAGUCCGAUAGAGGUGAGUGGAAUUCCUAGUGUAGAGGUGAAAUUCGUAGAUAUUAGGAAGAACACCGGUGGCGAAGGCGGCUCACUGGAUCGGUACUGACGCUGAGGUGCGAAAGCGUGGGGAGCAAACAGGAUUAGAUACCCAAGUAGUCCCUGAGCGGGCUGGCAAGGCGCAU
RNAcentral lists this ribosomal RNA (447 nucleotides) under uncultured bacterium. RNAcentral's name for it is "bacterial SSU rRNA". It matches the Rfam family "Bacterial small subunit ribosomal RNA", at positions 355 to 825 of the family's 1533-position model. The record is from RNAcentral.